Molecule: long non-coding RNA, 885 nt
Filed under: Olea europaea subsp. europaea
Lineage: Eukaryota; Viridiplantae; Streptophyta; Magnoliopsida; Lamiales; Oleaceae
Source: RNAcentral
CUCUAUUUUUAAAGUUUGAUUUCAAAAAUCAAAAUUAUAGUUUAAACAUACAAAAGUCAUAUCAUAAUACAAUAUUUUUAAUAUUAAAUAAUAAUAUUUAUAAAAUUCAAUUAAUUAUAUACCCAAACCCCAAACCCUAAUAUUAAUUUCAUUCCUCAUUCUCAAUCCAUUCUCUCUCUAAUCUACUCUACCUCUUCUUCUCUCUACUUCACCAUCGUCGUCAGACGCCACCGUCGAUGGGGCUUCUCUACAUAAUGUCACACGUCAAAGCCACUUGUAGCAUCAACAAGGCUUCUCUGCUUCAGCGCUGACCAUAGUGACAUCAUCAUCGCUGCGUAAAGACGUCGCACGCUGAGGCGCCUCGCUUAGUGAAUGGUUGUGGCGGCGGGUUACAUGUUUUGGCCGUGGUUUUAUUGUGGAGAUGGUGAUGGAUCUAGUGGUGGUGGAUCUGGGUUUUGUUGGGUCGAUGGUAGAUCUAGUGGGAUGGAUCUAACAGUGGCGAUAUCUUUGUUAGAUUUGAUGGUGGUAGUUACGGUGCUAAUGGCUGUGAUUUUAUUACACUUGGCGGUAUUUCUUGUUGAUAUAGGCGGCAGUGGUGGUGCCCUUGUCCCAGAUUUAGGAAUUUUUUGGUAUGGGUUGUGGAUGUAGAAUGAUAGGCUGGUGGCAGCGGCGACGUCGACGUCGACAAUGGUGUAAUUGUAUCAUUGGUGGAAUGGGGUGGGGAAUGGGAAGUAUUUGUGACCAAUUGUUUAGUCAAUUGUAACCAUAAAUAAUUUAUAACCAAUAGAUUGAUUAAUUUAUGAUCAAUAAAUAAUAUGUUACAUAAAAUAUGUGAUUGUGACUCACAAUUUACUAAGUUGGGAUAGAUUCAUUUGAUAAUUUGGG